AAACCCUCUUGCGUGGCAUAUGUGGGAAAUGCCACAACCUUGCUUUGUUGUCAAACUCUCAUUUUCCUUCAACAACAUAAAUGGAACCCAUACACCAAAAUCUCUUCUUUCCUCUCACCUCUGUUCUGUCUGUUGAUUUCAAGCAACAUGCAGUCAUAUUUCAGUCUUUGUUCCUUCAUAAAAGUUGUAGAUAUUGUCGCGUUAUUGAAUUUAGACUCAAAAAUCAUCCAAUUCGGAGUUCGGAGCUAUGAGUUAUAGCCUUUGCAAGUUUGGUGUUGCUGCUGAACUUCUUGAUGCGUUGCUGCUACUGUAUGUUCGUUCUUGUUGUAGUGUUGUUCCGUGUGUGUGAUUGAUGUGUGGUUGUUAUUGGUGCUUGCAACCAUCAUUGUCUUCAUUUCUUUUGUGGAGGUGAAUUUCGGAGAAUGCUUUGGAGAAGUAUAUGAUUCAAGCUAAGAUAGAGGUCAAUGUUAUGAUUCUUGGAGGUUGCAUAUAAUUGUCUUUGGUUUAUCUUGAAGUGAAUAUCAUAUCGAGUUGUCGCCCCGGCCUCCUAUAUCCCAGUCUGAUGGAUUGAUGACUGCUUCUGUGAUUGGAGAUGGAGCUGGGUUUGAUAUGCCCCCUGUAUUAGUUCUAUUGAGGUUGAUCCUGUUCCUCUCCAAGUCAGGUUACUUGAGGAACUUAUAUCUAAGAACCAAUUCUUCCCUUUGUUUGCUGAGGAUAAUGUUGGUGCUAAUGAGCUAAUUCUAGUUAAAUCUGAUGCGGAAUUUGAUAAUUGUCUGCUUGAUGGUGCUCAGGAUGUUCUUCAAGUUUGUGUUGCAAUCCCGGCUUCUUCAUUUCAAUCUCUCUCUUCUGGGAGCUCAUUCGUUAGGAAGAUUGAAGCAAUGAGGGUUGAGAUAGAGGAUCAGAUGACUCUCCCCUCUCACUCUAGCUCAGUAAAGAGGAGGAAGAGUAGCUCUGGAGAUGAGAUUGCGGGUUCGUAGAGGAACCUUUUUGACUUGAGAUUGAGGUACAUUGACUGUGUUUGCUACUAAGGGACUUGAAGAUAGUUAGCUCCAGUUGGGUUAAAGAGUGCGUUGGAUCCCUUUUGUUUUAAUAGGACUUUUAAAAAGACUUCCGCUGUUAUUUAUUUAUAAAAUUUAUGUUCUGGUCUGUAAUAAUU
Beta vulgaris subsp. vulgaris (sugar beet) is the source of this 1156-nucleotide long non-coding RNA. RefSeq lists it as uncharacterized. Lineage: Eukaryota; Viridiplantae; Streptophyta; Magnoliopsida; Caryophyllales; Amaranthaceae. The record is from RefSeq and is a predicted model, not a curated record. The transcript has 5 exons.